RNAcentral lists this ribosomal RNA (870 nucleotides) under uncultured candidate division GN03 bacterium. RNAcentral's name for it is "bacterial SSU rRNA". It matches the Rfam family "Bacterial small subunit ribosomal RNA", at positions 463 to 1334 of the family's 1533-position model. The record is from RNAcentral.
AUGCGUCUGAAGGUACCUCCAAAGGAAGCUCCGGCUAACUCCGUGCCAGCAGCCGCGGUAAUACGGAGGGAGCAAACGUUGUUCGGAUUUACUGGGUGUAAAGGGUGCGUAGGCGGCUACGUGUGUCAGAGGUGAAAGCUCACGGCUCAACCGUGGAACUGCCUUUGAAACUGCGUAGCUUGAGUCCGAGAGAGGAUGGUGGAAUUCCUGGUGUAACGGUGAAAUGUGCAGAUAUCAGGAAGAACACCGGUGGCGAAGGCGGGCCAUCUGGCUCGGUACUGACGCUGAGGCACGAAAGCUAUGGUAUCGAACGGGAUUAGAUACCCCGGUAGUCCUAGCCGUAAACGAUGUCCACUAGGUGUCGGAGGUCCUACCCCUUCGGUGCCGGAGCUAACGCAUUAAGUGGACCACCUGGGGAGUACGCUCGCAAGGGUGAAACUCAGAGGAAUUGACGGGGGCCCGCACAAGCGGUGGAGCAUGUGGUUUAAUUCGAUGCAACGCGAAGAACCUUACCUGGGCUUGACAUGCAGGGGACAGGUGUAGAGAUACACCCUUCUUCGGACUCCUGUACAGGUGCUGCAUGGCUGUCGUCAGCUCGUGUCGUGAAAUGUUGGGUUAAGUCCCGCAACGAGCGCAACCCUUGUCCUUAGUUGCCAGCACGUCAUGGUGGGAACUCUAGGGAGACUGCCGGUGACAAACCGGAGGAAGGUGGGGACGACGUCAAGUCAUCAUGGCCCUUACGUCCAGGGCUACACACGUGCUACAAUGGCACAUACAGAGGGCAGCGAACCCGCGAGGGGAAGCCAAUCCCAAAAAGUGUGCCUCAGUUCGGAUCGCAGUCUGCAACUCGACUGCGUGAAGUCGGAAUCG